Long non-coding RNA from Bubalus bubalis (water buffalo), 3396 nucleotides. RefSeq lists it as uncharacterized. Lineage: Eukaryota; Metazoa; Chordata; Mammalia; Artiodactyla; Bovidae. The transcript is spliced from 2 exons. The record is from RefSeq and is a predicted model, not a curated record.
GGGAAGCUCAAAAAUGUGUGUGCAUAUAUAUAUAUAUAUAUAUGUUAAAGUGUAUGUGUGUGUAUAUACAGAUAUGUAUAUAUGGUGUUGUGUGUUUGUGUGUGUUUUAUUCCUACAAGGGAAGCCACGCACACUAUAGAGAUAACAGACCAAGUUACUUGUCACUAGGCUGCUCCACAUUCCUCGUGGAACAUCAGAAAUGGAAAUCAUUUUGGUUUUCCCUUUAGUCCAAGCUUUGCUUGAGCUCAGCUCUGAGUACCAUUGGGGAAAAAAGGCAAAGUAGCAAGAUACUGUACCAAAGAAUAAAAAUGUUCUCACUUAUUACCUUGUCCUCAGACUUUCCUUGGGGCUUACCAGAUAGCGCUAGUGGUAAUGAACCGAUGGCCAACACAGGAGACUUAAGAGAUGUGGGUUUGAUCCCUUUGUCAGGAAAAAUCUUCUGGAGGAGGGCAUGGUAACCUGUAGGAGCCUGUAGGCUGGUGGGCUACAGUCCGUAGGGUCGCAAAGAGUCAGACAUGACUGAAGCGACUUAGCACAACAUGGCAGACUUUCCUUAAUGAAGGCCCAGGUAUAGUUGUUUUUCUUCUGUGAUGACCCAACUUUGGCAGCAUUCUGAUUGGAAAUGGAAUGAGGGCCCUUGACCUGUGGUGAAGGAGUCGAUGCAGAGUUGUUGUGAUAAUGUCCCGCAAUCUUUUUCUGGCUGGAACGUUGGCCUGUCCAUGGGUGCAGCUGGCCCCUCUGCCUCUGCCAUCUGUACAGAUGUGUGUGGUGGUGGGCAGGACUGGCCGGACAGCUCUUGGCUUUGGUUUUAAGAUGACCAUGAACACUUGCCAUGGCUGUGUAAGAAAAAGGCUCCUGUCUAAUGAGCCUUGGAUGUUUUAAUAGCCUCACAGGCUAUUCAAGUCAAGCCCCUCUAUGUAAUAGAUGAAAAGACUGAAGCUCAGAACAAUCUUGGGGAUGUGCUCAGAGCUAGUGAGUGACGAGUAGAACCAGAACCCAGUCCCUCAGGUACAGUGGUCUACUGCUUUGGGAAAGGACUGCUCUCUUGAGGUGAUGGUCUGAGGAAAGCAGGCAAGUGUUUCCCAUGGGUAUGCUCAGGUGGGCCAUCCCAGCAGGAUGGUCCUGCACCAGCAGGCUUAUACCAGUAGGCCUUUAGCAGUGGCUCUGUGGGAUAUCACUUUUAUGAAAUCACUGAUGAGGGGUGUGGCCUUUAUUCUAAUGAUGAGAUACUUACCAAAGAGUGAGUGAUUACACGGAAACCAGGCUUGAUAUUCAGGUCCCCUCUGGGCCUCACCUUUAUUACCCUCAUUUCCAAUUUUUUUCCUGGAGCCAGGUGGGCCCUCUGAUAGGGAUAUUUAUAUUGUCUCAAGAAAAGCUUUGGCAAGAUGGCACUCUUGGUGAUAAACGGAAUUGGCAUUUCUGCCGCCAUCUGAUAUUCAUGGAUGAUUUCUUUAAUUCAGAAAUCAUUAGUGCAAGCCUACUGUGUACAGGUUCCCUGCACUGGGAUAUAACAGUGAACACAGUGACUGAUGCCUAGAUAUAGAUUUCUGUUUUCAUGUUACUCAUUCUCCCGUAGGAAGAAGGAAAAGGCAGCCUGAUUGAUUUAUCCAGAACAGAGAAACCCCAUCUCCAUGCUUGUCAUCUUGGAACCACAUUCACACCUCCUUCUUCCAGAUGCAUGACCCAAAGAAAGUGUCCUAACUUGCUCUUUUCCAAAACUAUUGGCAAAAGUUUCGCCCACAGUGUUUUCAAUGAAGUUACAACGUUUUUGACUAUUGAGUAUUUAUAACGUGUCAGGCAUUACAUGUAUAUUAACAUAUAAAUCAAAUACUCAUUUAAUUAUCAAAGAAAUUCUCCAAGGUUGGUAGUAUUGUGAUAUUUCCAUACUUGAUGGAUGAGGCAGCUGAGUCCGAAAGAGAUCUUAAGUAACUUAGCCAAAGUCACAUAUAGGUAAGACUCAGGCAGAAUUAAAAAUGCCUGGUUCUGAAUUCCACCAGGUGAUUUUCGUGUUCCCCCUAUUUAGAAUAGUUUGAGAAUCAAAAUUGGGAUUUUCAAUAUAUACUGACUUAUACUUUGAGCCUUUAUGAAAAGUUUAUUUUGAUCUUUUAUUAAUUUAUUCAACAUAUGGUUCUUAAAAGCUUCUAUCCUGCUGUCUCAGAACUAAGCGAUCAGAUUGUUGACUGAGACACAGGUUAAUUUCAUGGUAAUACCACACACCUGUGCACUAAGGCGGUUCCCCGGCUCCCACAAGCCCAUGCGAGGCACCAGGCACCUCUGCAGUUUCACAAGCGAGGAGACCCAGCUUCAGGCCCUCCAGAGUGGUGUCUGUGUGCAGGUCAUGCUGGUUCCUGGAGAGACAGACUGUUGCUCUUCCCUGGCCUUCUGCUGUGCCUAGACCGGAGGCUCAAAGAUAUGCCCUGGACAUUGAACGUGAAAGAAUGAAUUGAUUCUCUGGCAAAGGAAAUGAGAGAGAGCGCGAGCAACCUUCACUUCCUAGGCAAGAAACAGGAGCCCUGGGCAGCAGCAGUGUCGUCCUCAUCCUUAUCUGUCCGCGGCUGGUCCUCAGCCCAGUUCCUGGCACAGAGCACAAUACGGCUUAAUUGGAUCAGAUUGAGUUGAGUUGGGGAAACACGCAAACAAAAUUCCUCUGGACAAUAGCAUUGGACGAAGCUCAGUUUGUGAAUGCUCAGCUUGUGACGGCUCCUUCUGGAUUCCCUUCUGCAACUGUUUUGCCAGAACACCCGAUGGCAUUCAUUCAUUCACUCGUUCGUUUAUUCAUUCAGCUCCUCCUGGUAGUAUAUAGAAUAUCAGAAGGUGUGGAAGACAAGUCACAGCCCUGCCUUCAGGAAGUGUACCUUGAGGAAAACUUGGGCUUUAUUCUCUGGAUUAUAUACCAUCCCUGAGGUGGCGGAGAGUUGGAAUAAGGCGGUUGUAGUUGCUCGUGGUCCAUCCUCCGUGUUGGCCUCCACACCACAGUCUUUGAACAGGAGUAGAAAGGUCACCAACUGUGGUUGCAAAUUGGCUCUUAUGCUAAUCCUGUCUUAUUCAAAAACACUCAAUAUUUUUCCAAACUGAGUUUAGAGCUUUUGACUAAAGCCUGAAUCGUUUACUGUGUCAGAGCAUAUCGCCAGUAUGGGAAAAACUAGAACUUUAAAAUACAAAGCCCCUUUUAAGUAAUCCAAUAUAGGAUAAUUACAUUAUUAAAUAAAGCCCUGGGUUUCAAAUUAUUCCACUGCCAUUGUACAUGUGAAGAUAAUAAUGUGAACUGUGCUAAGCGAACAGAGCAAAAAAGUUUAACAGGAGGGAGCAUGUCCAAAUCAUAUGUUUAUGUUUAAAUAAAAGCUACACAAAAUAGGAAGAUUUACUUGGUUUCUACAUUAAAGUAUCCUAAAUAGG